CCCCUGAAAUAAACCAAAGUUUAGUAUAAGUACAUAAUAUAAUACAACCGAAAAAUCCCAUAAACCAAAGUAUCAAGACGUGUCAUUCCUACUAACCAGUCAACGCUUGCACAUGGCUCAAUAUCGAUGAUUCUGCAUUCUGCAUCUUGUUGAUCAAGUAUUCUUUGAUAAACAUUGAAAACAAUAUGUCUUACUUGCGAUCGAAGAGGUUUCUUCGACAUUUUCAUCACUUUUUAAAGGAAAUUUGAAGUCAAACCAAAAACAAUUCCUCGAAAUUUCAGUUGACACAUGAAAUUUUUCUUUUAUUGCCAUAUGAAAAUCGCAAAUUUAAAAAAAAAAUUGCCAUCAGAUUCUGGUAGACCUUAGUCUCUUUGCUAAACAAUCUAUGCUAGUUUUAUGUGUCAUACGUCUAGCAACAUUAACCUUAUCUGUGGGCAAAAAAAAUCUUCUAGCAUUGUCUGUCAUUUUUGUCUGACUGUCGGGUUCACGUGUUGCGCUUGGCGGUUUAUUUUUAUUUUUGAAAUUAAAAUGCAGGUUUACAUUUUUUAUCGAAAUGGAUGAAGAUGGGACUGCUGAAGUUGUUACAAUCAAUAGUGGUACAAAAACAAGACCACGACGAGGACGUACCCGAAUUACAAAAUCAGCUUCUAAGUAUGCGGAGACUAGUCCACUUGCAUGUAAUUUGCAAAAAGACUGUAAACAUGGCCCAAAAAGUGUAUUCAAAUGCAAAAAGUUAAGCCUUUCCUUACUACUCAAAAAAGAAGGCUUUUUUGCUAACAAAACAAAAGUAGCACAAGAUUACUUAGCACACUUACCUAACAAGAUUGGUUUCUUCAUACAAUCCCCAAAGAAUCAAAGAACCUAAAGGAUCUACUCGGAAACCUUUAUGAUAAUAACAAUAAUAACCUUGGUGAUAA
This is a long non-coding RNA of Pieris napi, 917 nucleotides long. RefSeq lists it as uncharacterized. Lineage: Eukaryota; Metazoa; Arthropoda; Insecta; Lepidoptera; Pieridae. The transcript has 2 exons. The record is from RefSeq and is a predicted model, not a curated record.